This 73-nucleotide transfer RNA is filed under the name Trichonephila clavata. It matches the Rfam family "tRNA". Rfam says of the family: Transfer RNA (tRNA) molecules are approximately 80 nucleotides in length. Lineage: Eukaryota; Metazoa; Arthropoda; Arachnida; Araneae; Nephilidae. The record is from Rfam by way of RNAcentral.
GUCCCUGUAGCGCAAUGGAUAGCGCGUCGGACUCCUAAUCCAAAGGUCGUGGGUUCGAAUCCCACCUGGGGUG